This 1536-nucleotide long non-coding RNA is filed under the name Marmota monax (woodchuck). The record is from RNAcentral. Lineage: Eukaryota; Metazoa; Chordata; Mammalia; Rodentia; Sciuridae.
GCCGAGGGGCAGCCGGCUCCCGCCGAGAGGGCCGCCCGCCCCCAUCUAACUCUUGCCCCGGGUCCUGUACUCCCACCCCACUCCGUGCGCCCACGUCAUCGAGACCCCGAAGCCUAGGUUUGGGGAGCCGAAGGGGAAGUAGGGGGAGGGGAGGAGGCACCGCGGAGGAACUGGCCUGCGGGCGAUGCGGGGGGAGGGGCCGCUCCGCCCCCGCGCGGGCUCUGGUGCGCGCCCCCGAGGCGCCCCGGGCAGCGUGGGGGCGGGGAGGAGGACGCGGCCACCAGGUCGCCGCGCCCCAGUUGAAAAUACUCCCUAACAGGAAGCUUGCAAAUGGAAACCUGGCGUCCUGCGCCCACUUUCGGAUGGGGCUGCUGCAGCAGCUGGCGGGCGGACCGGCGGUCCUGUAACCUCUGUUGCUCCGGGCUAAGCGCGGCCGGGUCCUGCGGGUCGGGCUGAGUGCCUGCGGACAACUUUAUCCGCUCAGACUCCAGCCGCGGCGGAGCGGGCAGCCAAGGUGCGCUUCGGGCUGCGCGGUGGACAGUCAUCCCCUCGGAGGUGACUGUUUGCCGUUCCAGGGGACGGGGCUCGCCCUCUCCCUGGGCCAGGGUGCCUGAUGCAAGAUGGCUGUAUUUUGUAAGCCUCUAAAACAAUGUAUGGAAUACAACGUUAACUGUACAGGGCCUGUCCUGGGAGUUUGUCCUACCAGCCAGAGUGGGCCUUGUAACCGUCUCAGUAUUUGGUAGGAUUACUUCGGAAAGAGGCUUGCCAAAUAUAAUAGCGUAGUCCAGUGUUGUCAGCUUCAGCAUAGUUUGCAAGGGGCUGAAAACGGCAGAAAUAAGGGAAACAUGGUUUACGAAUUAUGUUUAACCAUUUUCCAAUUCUCGGUAGCCUGCAGAACAGACUUCAUGGCUCAAGCUACCCUCAUUAACUGGCGGUUGAUUGGCUAACAAACAGCUGAACCUUCCUAGAUAUUGACAACGCUCUACAACUGUCUGUGCACGUUUUCCGUAGAAGUGUCAUGAAGACAUCCCAUAGGAUGGUGAAGGAGACAAAUUUCACAGAUAAAGGACACUACUAUCUGUAAUCUGAAGACCUCAAAAGCAUCUUAGUCAUAAACAUUAUCCUGAAACAGAUAAAUGGAAAUCAGAUAUGAGGGAAGGAAUGGAUUGGUCCAAGGUCACUUAAGUGAGGAACAGACCUAGGAGAAACAAAAUAAUCCAAGCUUGUUUCAUUAUUAUUUAAUGAAUGUUAAGUGUCCAUGGUUGCUAUACAGAACACAUAAAAUCUGCGAUCCUAUCUUAAAAGCACAUGCAAAAAAUCCUCAGCUUAGCUGCCAGCGAAGAAUUCCUACAGUUUAACCCAAGGGAAAGAGGUUUUUUUGUUUUUCUUUUUUGUUUUGUUUUCAGGAAACCAAAAUAUUUGUUGCUGGAUUUAUACAGGAAGGCUGUUGUACAUCAGUUAAAUUCAUAUUGUCAAGAAAUGUUAAAAUGACAGGGGUAAUGUUCUCUUUGUAUGCUAUAUUUUCCCAUAAGUUUC